RNAcentral lists this long non-coding RNA (795 nucleotides) under Pogona vitticeps (central bearded dragon). Its description in RNAcentral is "lncRNA (ENSPVIG00000025598.1)". The record is from RNAcentral. Lineage: Eukaryota; Metazoa; Chordata; Lepidosauria; Squamata; Agamidae.
UGUUGCAUUUCCUUCAAGUAGCUCAAUUACACGGUUCUCUUCUUUUCCAUUUUAAUCUUCACAACAAUCCUGUGAGGUACAUUCUUCUGAGAGAUCAUGCCUGGCCCUAAUUGAACUGACUUCCCAGCUGUUCAGCUUGAUACCUAAUGCACUGAGCUAUCCAGCCAGCUGAGGACAGCUUAAUUCUGUGUAAAUAUACAUAUGAAUUCACUGCAAUAUUGUUUCUGCACACAGAUUGCAGUUCACAGAUACGAUUGUGUAUGUGUCUGGGGUGUGUGUGCAGUUGUUCCGAGAGAGUCAAACUGUGACUAUAUUGCAGAAACAGCUGUCACAGGAACGGGGUGAAAAACUCCUUGUUGCCGCAGGAAGUCUAAACUACGUUGCUGGCCUUUCUGCAAUGCAGUCCUACGGCCUUGCAGCAGUACUAAUCGCUGCAGAGAAGGAUGAAUUCUGCUUUUUACUGAAUGUACAGGAAAGGUUGAGGAGAGGGACACCUACGGCUUGCAUGGACUGGCCAAGAUAAUUUUGUGUGUGUGUCCCCUGUGCUCCCCAUGCUUUCAGAAAAAUUGCCACCAAAAUGCCAUGGUAAGCCACUACAUACUUUUCGCAAAAACCCCACCUUUGUAUUUAUUGCUAGAAGAAAGCUUUGUUGAUAUCCUAAUUGCAACAAUUGCUGAUCAUUGCUGUUGAUCCUGAAAUACCAAGACUUUUUUUUAUUAUACAUUAUUACCAAGCUUUGUUAUUUAAGUGGGAAAUCAGUCCACCCAAGCAGGACUUUGAAGUCUCCUGUCGUCA